Molecule: transfer RNA, 76 nt
Filed under: Rhodobiaceae bacterium
Lineage: Bacteria; Pseudomonadati; Pseudomonadota; Alphaproteobacteria; Hyphomicrobiales; Rhodobiaceae
Description: tRNA-Trp
Rfam family: tRNA
About the family: Transfer RNA (tRNA) molecules are approximately 80 nucleotides in length. Their secondary structure includes four short double-helical elements and three loops (D, anti-codon, and T loops). Further hydrogen bonds mediate the characteristic L-shaped molecular structure. tRNAs have two regions of fundamental functional importance: the anti-codon, which is responsible for specific mRNA codon recognition, and the 3' end, to which the tRNAs corresponding amino acid is attached (by aminoacyl-tRNA synthetases). tRNAs cope with the degeneracy of the genetic code in two manners: having more than one tRNA (with a specific anti-codon) for a particular amino acid; and 'wobble' base-pairing, i.e. permitting non-standard base-pairing at the 3rd anti-codon position.
Source: RNAcentral
GGGAGAAUAGCUCAAUUGGUAGAGCACCGGUCUCCAAAACCGUAGGCUGGGGGUUCGAGUCACUCUUCUCCCGCCA